UGGGGAAUUUUGGACAAUGGACGCAAGUCUGAUCCAGCCAUGCCGCGUGAGUGAAGAAGGCCUUCGGGUUGUAAAGCUCUUUCAGGUGGAAAGAAAACGCAUAGGUUAAUACCUUGUGCGGAUGACGGUACCAUCAGAAGAAGCACCGGCUAACUACGUGCCAGCAGCCGCGGUAAUACGUAGGGUGCGAGCGUUAAUCGGAAUUACUGGGCGUAAAGGGUGCGUAGGCGGUUUAUUAAGUCAGGUGUGAAAUCCCCAAGCUCAACUUGGGAACUGCAUUUGAUACUGGUAAGCUAGAGAUCGGAAGAGGUGAGUGGAAUUCCUAGUGUAGAGGUGAAAUUCGUAGAUAUGCGGAGGAACACCGAUGGCGAAGGCAAUCCCCUGGGCCUGUACUGACGCUCAUGCACGAAAGCGUGGGGAGCAAACA
This 427-nucleotide ribosomal RNA is filed under the name uncultured bacterium. Its description in RNAcentral is "bacterial SSU rRNA". It matches the Rfam family "Bacterial small subunit ribosomal RNA", at positions 355 to 774 of the family's 1533-position model. The record is from RNAcentral.